Molecule: transfer RNA, 72 nt
Organism: Ovis aries (sheep)
Lineage: Eukaryota; Metazoa; Chordata; Mammalia; Artiodactyla; Bovidae
Rfam family: tRNA
About the family: Transfer RNA (tRNA) molecules are approximately 80 nucleotides in length.
Source: Rfam
UCCCUGGUGGCUCAGAUGCUAAAGUGUCCGCCUACAAUGCAGGAGACCCAGGUUCGAUCCCUGGGUUGGGAA